GCUUCAUUGACAGGCGGAUCCGUUGCCUUCUGGGCGGCGCUUGGAACCGGAUUGUUCAACUCGAUCAUGUGGUC
This 74-nucleotide transfer RNA is filed under the name Allorhodopirellula solitaria. RNAcentral's name for it is "Planctomycetes bacterium CA85 tRNA-Arg". Lineage: Bacteria; Pseudomonadati; Planctomycetota; Planctomycetia; Pirellulales; Pirellulaceae. The record is from RNAcentral.